Molecule: long non-coding RNA, 523 nt
Filed under: Cavia porcellus (domestic guinea pig)
Lineage: Eukaryota; Metazoa; Chordata; Mammalia; Rodentia; Caviidae
Description: lncRNA (ENSCPOG00000039311.1)
Source: RNAcentral
AUUCCGCGAGGGAACGCCUCACCGCCGUGCUCCCGGGACGUGCGGCUGGAGUUUGCACUUCGUUGAGAAAUCUGCCUGGCGACUGAGCAUGCCCAGUUCCACUGGAGCCUUGGGCCGCGCGCUCCUGGAGGUGCAUUGUAUGAAGCCUCCUGUUUGGGCUGGUCUCAAGCAGAGCAGUGUGUAUCUUCAUAGGAAGGAGAAAGGUGUCCUGACUAUCAUGGAGAUAAGAAGAGAGAAAGAAGUAGAGAAAGAAAUAACAAGGCAAGGGAAAGAGAAAGGAAGAGGCUGAGCAUAAAAAAUACUAGUGCAUCUCACUUGGUAGAGGACAUAAACUCAGAUGAUCAUAUUGAAUCUACCUGAAUCCUGUGUCCAAUCCUACAAUGAUUUUCUUCCAACUGGAAAAAGAAACUCUGAGUGGUAAGUUUAAAUCACUCAUCUAUUUAUUCUUCUUUUCUAUUAGGUCAAACUGCUUUGGGUUAUCUGAGCUGUUGCAGACUGAUUUGGAAGGUCAUUGCAUUCAAAU